AACGUAAUGGGAUUAAAUCUGCUAGUGAUAUGCAUGAUGAGUUGUUAUUGCAGCAGAGCAUUAGCGAAGUUGUGGGCGACGAAAUAUGGAACUCAAAAAUUGAGGACGAAGAAGGUCAUGCAAACCUCUGCGGGACUUCAGAGAAUUCAAGGAAGUUGGAUUCUCCACAGCCAGUUAAAUUGCUUAUGGCAUCUUCAGAUGAUUCUAACAAGAGGCUUAAAGGAGCUUUGGUGACUAAAACUCGAGAGCGCAGAAAAGUUCAGCUAAUGGAACAACCAAGCCAAAGAACAACGGGAAGGAGCCUAGGA
RNAcentral lists this unclassified non-coding RNA (308 nucleotides) under Hevea brasiliensis (rubber tree). Lineage: Eukaryota; Viridiplantae; Streptophyta; Magnoliopsida; Malpighiales; Euphorbiaceae. The record is from RNAcentral.